GAAUGAAUUUAAAACUGCAUUUUGUAUUUAUUCAGGUUAUCUUUGACUAAUAUUAAAAUUUGUUUGAUGAUCUGAAAUAUGUCAAUGUGACAUAUAUGCAAAAUAAUUUCUCAGCACUAUAUAACAGACAAGAACAUGAUGAAUUAAUAAAAAUGACAAAGUUGGCAAAUGUUAGAGUUAGGAAGUUCAGAACAAACAGGAAAAUUUGGGCAGAAAUGAGAGAUUUUAAUAUGUACAUAUGGAAAAAUAAAACAAGAAAGGUAACAGUGAGGAAGAGAAGCGUGAUAAAUAAUAGGAAGGAAAGUGUAGGAAGAGUUUGGAGAAGAGAGAGAAGAAAAAAGCAAUCAACAGACAUAACAGAUGCCGUUAAAGUCAAUCAGAGGAAUGGAAGGAGGAAAUUAAAGAAGAGAAGGAUGCAUGGGGGAAAAAGAGAAAACAUUCAGAGACAGAUGUAUGCAAGCUUCAUGAUCAAACAGUAGAACAGCUCAUCCACUAGUUCAGUCCCUAAGCUGCAGAUCUAAAAUAGCCGCAUGUGAAUAUUUAUAUAUAUGCCUAUGUUCCUUUCCAUCGGCAAAGAGGCCAGGCAAAAUUGAUUUCUCUGUGUGAAUCCCCGAAGAGUUGAGACUCAGCAAAAGAAAAGCAGCAAAGAGCAAGGGAGAGUAAAAAGAAAGAAAUAAAGCGAUUUUAGAAAGAACAGAGGCGGGUUUUUGUGAAAUGAGUGGAAAAUGAAGAAAUGAGAGACACCUUCGGCUAAACGCAAGUGUACGACUGCACCACACUGAUGCAUAUGUUUGUCUCGCAUACAAUCUAUACCAGGAAGACUGCAAGAAUAUAAUUCACACUAUCUUACUUGAUUUUCAUUCCCAUCACCAUCCAAGUGCAUUGCAUCUCUCGCGCACCAGCUCACAUGCCUUACAGUUGCUGGCUGUAAGCACCAUUUAACACCAGCCAUCUUUCCAUGGCCACAACCAUCAGGCUACAUUACUCUCAUUAUCGGCAAAUAUAUGGUUCUAAUUAGAGAGAAGGUCAAAUUAUGGAACCAUAACUGAGCUAGUGGAAGACAUGCAGCUAUGAAACUGUGAGCCUGUACAUUUCUAGAUGUGAAACUUUUUCAAAAGUUUCGAGUUUGAAGUUAAAACUUGCAUUGCACUUACUUGCUGAUGACCAGUGUAAUCCUGCUGUACUGGGUUGCUUCUUUAUGAAGUGCGUCUACAUAUUAUUGCCACUUGACAAGCCUUAAUGUCAUAAAAAGGCAAUAAAAGUUCAUAUGCAUAUGAAAAAUCAGCAAGACUCACACACAGUUUGAGGCGUUUUCAACCUUUUAGCAGCAGAGACUUACACAAGGAAACGUGAGAAAUGACAUUUGAAAAUGCAGCUGAAGUUUUCAUUACCUCUUGUGAAUGCGUUAUAAAUCAAACAUAUGUCAGAGUGAUUUCCUAAAUUUUAGAGUCUUGCUGCAGCUUUAUUAAAUGUUUCAUCAUCCUGGAUUUAUGUUAUAAAUAAGUAAAAUCUCUAUCUGUGCCAUAACGUGGCAGCAUAUGCACUCGCAGAAACAAUAUUAGUGCUAUCUACAUUUUUAAUGCACUGUUCUUUUUUUUUUAGUAAGCAAUCUGGAAACUGAGGUCGAAAUUAAUUGAAACACAUCCGAAAGGAAGUGACAGUAGUCAGGGGUUUUUGUCACAAUGCUAGUUCCCAUCUGAGAAAUUAAUUUCACUGACAAAGCAUGGCUGCACAAGAGUAUAGCUUAGAAACUAUUUGUGGGCAUAAAUAAUAAAUGCUGUGGAGAGCAAAACAAACCAAGAGUUGGGCAAAAUGUCUUUUGGAUACCUUAACUAGAGCCUGGAGCUACAGCCCUGUGAGACCCACUUCAGCACAUUGUAUGUAUGUAGGUAUCCUAACAUGCUGUCACUUAAAGUUCUCCACAAUUGUAUCUCAGUGUGCAACAGUGUGGAAGAAUAUCCGAGAACUUGUAUUGUGUUACAUAAUAAUAAUACACGUUUUAUCAUAUAUUCUUAGCAUUUGAGCACUUUUUAAGCGAAGCUUAUGCAUGUUUGUUUAGGAGCGUCUAUAUUCACUCAUCUGCCUGCAUUCCUGGGUGUUUUGGCCUGCUGGGCUAUUCCUUACAUCACUUCUGCUUUUCUGCUGGUCAAACUUAGAUCUGUCAUCAUCACUCUGGCCCAAUCAGCAAUCUUACCCGCCUUCAGCCUCUGUCUCACCUGCUUUAAAUCUCACUGCUCUUCUGUCAUUCUGCCUUUCAGACCGUCAUUUGUGUGAAACACCUCCACCUCAUCUCCACUUCAACCUGGCUAGAUAGAGAUCUUUGUCCAAGUCUCCACUUCCUUCUGUUCCACCACUAUUUUUCCUACAUUAUAGGCUCCAAUCAGAGUCUAAUCAUAAAAAUAGUUUAUUAUUCAAACUCAAUUUCAAGAAAUAAUGCUUAGUUCUUUUCAAUGAUCUCUCAUUAUUAAAAGGUUAUUUUUGUUAAGGACUGGCUGUGUUGUGUUGGCAGACAAAGAAUAAACUUCAACGCAGCUUUAUUGCUGAACUCUCACUGAAUACAAAACAAAACAGGUCAUGACCUAAUAUUUCACAACAAGAAUCUUCCAGGAAAAAAAAAACACACUAUGAGGAAGGCAGAACGAAGACAGAGAUGAAAGGGAGACAGACAAUAAAUACAAACACAUGAUAAUGAGCGGAUUUGAAACAGGUGGGAAUGCAGCCAUGAAGCACAAGAGACUAAAGACUACCAAAGUAAAACAGGAAGUGAGAUAAGACAGACUAACAGCAUGCAAAUUUUCACAUAAGUAAAAACUAGAAGAAAAGGCAGAACAGGAACACAAGAGGAGAUCAACCUCAGGAUGUCAGAGGCAAAGAAAAAACAAUGAACAAGAAAUAGAAGAGAGUUAAAACUAACCAAUACACACAACAGAACUAUAACACAAAAAUAACCAAAGAUUCAAAAUCAGAAAAACUCCAAAGAUCCCAAAACUCAAAACAGCCAUGAAAGCUUUAAUGCUUUGAUUGUAGUGAGUUUACAUGCUGAAGUUUAUUUUCUUUAGUCCAAACUGAUGUUGACUGAUGAAACUUCAUUUAUGUUUUUUAGGUUUCUGACCAUAAAUGAUUAUCUGAUUAUGAACUGAACCAUCCGUUCUUGUGGAAAUGAAAGAGUUAACAAGUUAUUACAUCUUGAAUCAUGAAUGUCUUUUGCAAAACCAUAUCCAAGCUAAAAAAAAAAAAAAAAAAAAAAGCUAUCAAGGCGCUCAAUCCAAAAAUCCAACCAUUAGCUUCAUAAUGAAACAGUCAGAAAUUUCAGGAGACAUCUGGACACCAUGACUGUGCAAAUAUUCCAAAUUAUAUCCACUAAUUAUUUAAAUAUUUCAGUGUGGACCAAAGCAGUUGGCUGAGUGACAAAGUGACAGACUGACACUGCCAUCCUCCAGCAGUGCCACUACUCUAAGUAAACAUGUGGCUGAAUGUCAGUCUUUUUCAAUGUCCUAAUGUCAAACUCCUGGGUUGUUUGGAUCAUUAAAUGCUAGUUUGUCAGGUGCUCUCUAUUUGAUUCUGUUUGCUUAUAGUGUACACUUUUUCAUCCUCAUCUAUAUUCUUUAGCAUUUUGAACCUUUUGCUAUUAGUUACAGUUUUGUUUGUAUUAAAGCUAAAAUGUUCCCUCAGGAUCUUCUGUGUUAAGUUUAUUCCUGUGUCUGUGCUUCCCCGUUUAGUUAUUAACUGUGGUUUCCUGUUUUGUUUUGGUAGUUAUUUGUCUCCUGUGUUUUGUGUUUAAUUUUACUUCCCCUCCCAGCUCAUUGUCUUUGAUUACAUUACCUGCAUCUCAUUACUCUCCUGUGUCCAAUUCCCUGAUUACCCUUUGGUGUAUAAAUAGUGCUGUCUUCCCCUCAGUCUUAAUUUCUGUCUGUUACCCUUACUUAUGUGUUCCCUGCCUGGAUUCUGUUUAGUGCUGUCAUUUGGGGUUUUGUGUUGGCUUUUCCACUGGUUGAAUUAAAGGGUCAGCCAGAGCAUAAGGACUGGAUGGGAACCAACUUCAAUGCAACGGAGAGAUCACAUCGUUCUUAAAAGACAGCUGUGCAGGUUUAAUGGCCUGUUUUUAGUUCCACAGACAUGUGAUUGGUACUUCUGUCCAUCCUCUCCAGAAUCACUGGGUUGGCUCAGUGUUCUUCACUUCCUAACCUCUAUUGCUCCAGAUGUUGCAUGGCUAUUAAAGACGUUUAGUUAUUGCAAAUGUGGGAAAUUGACUCUUUAUUUCUGUCCCAUUUUUUGCACUGAUCAUCACCUGCACACAUGCAUAUAUUAAUCUGCUUAGCACUUUUAAUUCUUAUUUUUAUGUUUAAGUGUUGUCUUACAGUAUGUUUUGCACUAAGUACCGCAGCAAUUUCCUAAUGUUGUAAACCUGCUCAACAUUUGGCA
Molecule: long non-coding RNA, 4422 nt
Organism: Oreochromis niloticus (Nile tilapia)
Lineage: Eukaryota; Metazoa; Chordata; Actinopteri; Cichliformes; Cichlidae
Exons: 3
Source: RefSeq, a predicted model, not a curated record